GGGGCGACUGGAACACAACAUGGCGGCCUGAGGGGAGCGCCGGCCGCGGGGCCGGGGCGGGCUCGGCCGCUCCUCCGCCAGCCCCGGCAGCUGCGGCACGGCGCGGGAGGCACAGUAAGAGGUCUUCACUUCUGACUACAGCAAAUUCAGAUUUAGAUGGCCUAAUUAGUUUAUGAUGCAGCAUGAUUGAUAAUGAUCAGAAAACAGAAGUAGCAGAUGAUAAAAAUGAGAAGAGCACCUGACAAUUCUCAUGCUUUCUCCACUGUAAGGCUGUGUUUAUACUUGUAAAUUAAACAUAUCUGGAAAUCUUCUUGGACACAAAGAGCAGCUGGCAUGAAACAGCCCUCAUCUCUGCUAGUAAAUUCUCUUAUCUUCCAAAACAAGGCAGAAGGACAGAAACUGCUUGAGAACUGACCUUAGAAGGAGUCCUCACACCAGGCAGGGAAGGUGCCUCACAAAGUGCUGAUUGUCACAGGCCAAGUCCCUGCCAGUUGCUAAGAUAAGGAGAGGGAAUAUUUCCUGAUGUUCUGGAGA
Molecule: long non-coding RNA, 534 nt
Organism: Passer domesticus (house sparrow)
Lineage: Eukaryota; Metazoa; Chordata; Aves; Passeriformes; Passeridae
Exons: 5
Source: RefSeq, a predicted model, not a curated record